Transfer RNA from Theileria parva strain Muguga, 73 nucleotides. It matches the Rfam family "tRNA". From Rfam's summary of the family: Transfer RNA (tRNA) molecules are approximately 80 nucleotides in length. Their secondary structure includes four short double-helical elements and three loops (D, anti-codon, and T loops). NCBI's taxonomy places the organism in Eukaryota, Apicomplexa, Aconoidasida, Piroplasmida, Theileriidae. The record is from Rfam.
AGAGGACUAGUACAAAAGGAUAGUACAAUUAAUUUGAGGUUAAACAGUGUGAGUUCAAACCUCACGUCCUCUU